This 298-nucleotide unclassified non-coding RNA is filed under the name fungal sp. Its description in RNAcentral is "partial internal transcribed spacer region". The stretch from base 1 to 46 matches the Rfam family "Eukaryotic small subunit ribosomal RNA", at positions 1786 to 1831 of the family's 1831-position model. The record is from RNAcentral. Lineage: Eukaryota; Fungi.
AAGUCGUAACAAGGUAUCUGUAGGUGAACCUGCAGAUGGAUCAUUUCGAUGAAAACCUUUUUUUCUUGAGGUGUGGCUCGCACCUGUCUAACUAAACUUGAGCUACCUUUUUUUAACACGGUUGCAUCGGUUGGCCUGUCAAACAGUGCGGCGGGCAAGAAUUCAUUUUCGUGCCUGCCAAGCUAGGCGACGGACCGACACUUAAUCAACACUUUUGAUGAUCUAGGCUUUGAACGUAUAAAAGUUACUUUUUUAAUAACUAAAAAACAACUUUUGGCAACGGAUCUCUUGGUUCUCC